This 3356-nucleotide long non-coding RNA is filed under the name Zea mays. RNAcentral's name for it is "long non-coding RNA (ZMAY_LNC002762)". Lineage: Eukaryota; Viridiplantae; Streptophyta; Magnoliopsida; Poales; Poaceae. The record is from RNAcentral.
CUUCGGCUUGACAGAAGGCAAAAAUCCAAGUGUUGCGUGCGAGCGAUUACAGGAUAGCGUGAACAGUAUGGGGGUACUGUUCAUCUAUUUAUAGGCACAGGACGCAGCCCAUGGGGAAUUACAUUCAUGCCCUUUGCAAAGGUUUACAAUCAUAAUACAAAUUAUCAUGGGUCAGUUGGUCAUUUCAUCUUUAAGUCGGUGCAUUUGGAAAUAUGCUCUGAAGCCUUUUGAUUGAUAGCUUCGGCUUCGUGUCAACUUCCGAAGGUGUUUCUUCUUAUGAGACCUUCGGCGACGAAGCAGACCCCCAACACUAUAUAAUAGGAGUUCUGUACAAAAUAAAUAAUUAAUUACAUUAUAAGGAGACAACGGUCUAGCAACCCAAAGUUGACUGGGAGACGACGGCCUAGACCUCUCACGAACUCAUCACAACAUCCUCCAUGCCUCAUCCUGCGGUACCUGUUCUUGACCUAUGGGGGGUGUGAGACAGCAAGAGUGAGCUCAUAUACGUUCAUAGCUCAACAAGUUGUGGGGAAUAAUGUGCAUGAACUCGCCAAAGGUGGGAGCUCACGUGAAGUGUAAGGCUUACCAAAGAGGAUGGUUAGAGAUGAGCAUUGCUUUUAAAGUGGGUCAAAAUUUUAUUAGCAAUUACUAAGUGUAAGUAAAUACCAACCCAAUUAAGUAGUAGAACAAAAGUAAUAACAACACCUGCGAUGCAAUGCAUAUGACAAAUUGAAUUUAGUUCCAUAAAUUAAUCAUGUGAGGGUCCGAGCUGCUCAUGACCGUGAGCACGGUUGAUAUACCAGUUUUACACUCUGCAGAGUCUGCGCAUCUUUACCCACAAGUCAUGUUACCCAUCUGCCACGGGGUUGUACGGGCCCCAUACACCUCUACCAAGGAAGCGAGGCAGGGUAACACUACGGGGCCUUUACAAAGUUCCACUAGCUUCAGAAAACCCGCUACAGUUUAUAGGAAGCUCCAAUGCAGGGAUUUCUCGCCUGACCGCCAUCGCAGGAAAAUCAACCCAAGGACCUCCCUACACUGACCACUCCCCUACUGCCCUUGCCCCUUUCGGGUAAGGUAGUCCUCCACUAGCUUUCCUAGUUAAUCAGCCAAGGGCAUCCCAUACUACCCUUGUGGUAGCACUGUUUUCCCGGGUGGUCGCUCCAUGUUCCAAUUAACAUAAUGAUCUUAUCAUGAACAGUAAAUAACAACUGAUAACAAAAGUAUAAUCAUGAAAAAUGUUUAUCUCUAUACCCAAAUCUACAUAGAGCAAUAGCAGGUACUACCCAAAUAUUCAGUGGUGAACAAGGUAUAAAGAUAGUCAAACUAAGGUAACCUAUUGGGUCCCAUCAAAAUUAAUCUAUGCAGAUCAUUAUGAUUAAUUAGAACAUGACUGGGUAAAAAGAAGUGAUCAAGGGCAUAACUUGCUUGGGACUUGAGAUUCCAGGUACCAACUUGCUCUUCAGGUGACACGUGUCCUCACUGCUAAACAUAGCAAUACAGACAAACAUGUAUAGGCAAAAUUAACAUCACAUCAAACAUAAGAAUAAACUGCAUAAUAAUAUUCUACGCUGCGUAACGAGAUCAUAGGAACAAGAAUCACUAAAUUUGGUUCUACGGUUAUUAAAUUAUGAAUUUCCGAAGUUAUUGAGUACCUAUAAUAGCAUAACUCAUGUGAAUAAUUUUAGUUCAUGUUUCAUGGCCAAACAAAUUUACUAAGUGAUAAAAAAUAUUAAAACAAAAUUAAUGUCUCUUGAAUGACUCAAUUUGGAAUUAAAAUGGAUUUAAUAUGAAUUAUACAAGUUUCUGAAAUUGUUUUGUAUUAAAAAUCGAUUUCUAUAAUCAUUUUUCUAAUUCUCUCUGAUCUCUCGAUUGGGCGCUAAAUUCUGAAAAACCUAGGGACUGAUCUACAAAUAUUUCCUAGACUCAGUGAUCAUCGCCCACGGACGGCGGGUUGAUUUUUAAUAAAGUCGGGGGCUCUUUUGAAAGAAGUGCACGACGAAGGGGUAUUGGUCACUACCGGCCGUUGGAUCAGCGCCCGAUGGUUCAGAUUAGAUUUUUCUUUAUAAUUCAACCGGUACGCUAAGCCCGCUCUUGGAUCGCGAUCCUGUGGUGCAGAUUUUAAAACCCCGCGGCAACCCAGGAUCGCUCGAUCCCAAUCCAACCACCCGGAUCAAUCCAUCAAAGCGGUAUGCGUUGUUUCUGAUCUCAGCCGUUGCACUUGGAUCCAACGGCACCCGGCCGUAGGGAUGGCAACGGGGAAUUCCCCGCCGGGGAAUAGCUCCCCGUCCCCGCGACGAAAAAACUUCCCCGCGGGGAUCCCCACGAACGCUUGCGGGGAACAUUUCUUCCCCAUCCCCGUUCCCCGCGGGGAUAAAUCCCCAACGGGGAUCCCCAUAUCCCCGUUUAAAUUACAAUUAAGACAUACAUACUUUGCUAUUAAUGUUAAAUAUUGUCACUUAUACACAUUGUCAGAUAUAGGAAAUCAUUAUGCAUACAUCAAAAUGAACAGAUUUGUACAAUUAGUGGUCUCUUGAUAAGGUAAUUAUUUAUUUUUAUCGUUAACUAGUACAAAAAACAUAGUCACGUGUAAGUUUAACGGGUCCCCGCGGGGAACGGGGAUGGGGAAUGCUUCCCCGUCCCCAUCCCCGUUUACCCGUCGGGGGUUAAAUUUUCCCCGUUUAUAUCCCCGCGGGGGAAGUUUCUUCCCCAUCCCCUAAUGGAGGAAUUCCACACCGGGAAUCGGGGAUCAGGUCCCCAUUGCCAACUCUACCCGGCCGUCUUCUCCAAUCGACCGAACAGGCAGCGGCGUUCACACCCAUACGGCGGCGCCCGAGAUAUUGUUGUCUCCACCACGCCGGCGAACGCGAAUCCAGCACCAUGGUGUCCAACCGAGGCAUUGAACUAGCGCAACACCAAGCGGAGGAGAUGACGAAUACAGAGGAUGGCUCCUUACCGGUACUCGCGCAGCAGAGCUGGCUGCCCACGGGCAUGCGGAUCCGCGGCGGAUCCCCAACCCUGGUGAGGGAUUCCAGUCGUCGCUUCCAUCUACGGCGCUCGAGCUCGAAACCACCGUGCACCGCGCAUUGGGAUGGAGCUCCCCGGCCAAGUCCGAAGGUGGAAUGGGCUAGCGGCCACCAUCAUCCUAAUGGAAUCGGCCGACGGCGCACCCCCUAUCCCCAGCGCCAAGCUUAAGAUUCGGUUUAUGGUGAGGGUCAUCGGGUGCGGCGUUCACCUUAUAGAUCGAUGCGAGGAGAUCUCGGUCAGGAGGUUGGAACUGCUCUCCGAAUUCCCACGCGACAUCCACGGCGUUAGCAGCGCGCGCGAGCUGCGAGGCCUGUUACGCAGGAAAGGGG